CAGCCGCCGCGGUAAUACGGAGGGGGCUAGCGUUGUUCGGAAUUACUGGGCGUAAAGCGCACGUAGGCGGCUUUGUAAGUUAGAGGUGAAAGCCUGGAGCUCAACUCCAGAAUUGCCUUUAAGACUGCAUCGCUUGAAUCGCGGAGAGGUGAGUGGAAUUCCGAGUGUAGAGGUGAAAUUCGUAGAUAUUGGGAAGAACACCAGUGGCGAAGGCGGCUCACUGGACCGACACUGACGCUGAGGCGCGAAAGCGUGGGGAGCAAACAGGAUUAGAUACCCGCGUAGUCCCUGUCUCUUAUAC
This 301-nucleotide ribosomal RNA is filed under the name uncultured bacterium. RNAcentral's name for it is "partial 16S ribosomal RNA". It matches the Rfam family "Bacterial small subunit ribosomal RNA", at positions 509 to 807 of the family's 1533-position model. The record is from RNAcentral.